AACAAAUCCCAUCAUUACUAAAGAGCCCUUACAUAAUACUGAACAAUUCUAUACAACUAUAGAAGAUUUUAUGUUAAAACUAGUAACAAGAAGAAGAACUUCUCCUAUAAUGCAAGCAUAAAUCAGACAGGACACCCCACUGAUAAUUAACGCCCAUGAACAAAAAUAGCAACAAAACAAGAAAACCCUACUAAGUCAUGCGUUAACCUAACACUAGAGCAUUUCAAGAAAGAUUAAAAGAAAAAGAAGGAACUCGGCAAAUAUUAACCUCGCCUGUUUACCAAAAACAUCGCCUCUUGAAUAAAUAUAAGAGGUCCAGCCUGCCCAGUGACCAUGUUCAACGGCCGCGGUAUCCUAACCGUGCGAAGGUAGCGUAAUCACUUGUUCUUUAAAUAAGGACUAGUAUGAAUGGCACCACGAAGGUUACACUGUCUCCUCUUUCUAAUCAGUGAAACUAAUCUCCCCGUGAAGAAGCGAGGAUAAUAAUAUAAGACGAGAAGACCCUAUGGAGCUUCAAACUACAAGACACUUGCUCAACACAACUAAAUUUCAGAAGACUUCUCCCAUCCAAGCAAGAUGACCUUUAGUUUUAGGUUGGGGUGACCGCGGAGAAAAAAAUAACCUCCACAUUGAAAGGAGCCCACUCCUUAGCCAAGAGCCACACCUCUACGCACCAACAAAAAGACAUUAAUUGACCCAAUAUUUUGAUCAACGAACCAAGUUACCCUAGGGAUAACAGCGCAAUCCACUUCAAGAGCCCCUAUCGACAAGUGGGUUUACGACCUCGAUGUUGGAUCAGGGUAUCCCGGUGGUGCAGCCGCUACCAAAGGUUCGUUU
RNAcentral lists this ribosomal RNA (837 nucleotides) under Hyalinobatrachium colymbiphyllum (plantation glass frog). RNAcentral describes it as "partial 16S ribosomal RNA". It matches the Rfam family "Bacterial large subunit ribosomal RNA", at positions 1501 to 2578 of the family's 2925-position model. Lineage: Eukaryota; Metazoa; Chordata; Amphibia; Anura; Centrolenidae. The record is from RNAcentral.